This is a long non-coding RNA of Girardinichthys multiradiatus, 618 nucleotides long. RefSeq lists it as uncharacterized. The record is from RefSeq and is a predicted model, not a curated record. The transcript has 4 exons. NCBI's taxonomy places the organism in Eukaryota, Metazoa, Chordata, Actinopteri, Cyprinodontiformes, Goodeidae.
AUUACUGAUAGAAGGCAGGUGUGGGGAGCUUGAAGCAGUGGGUAGUGAAUGAAGACCUUAAUGGAUCGAAAAAGAAGGAAUCAACAUGUAAGGAUUUGUGGCUUUUAUGUCAAGGUUUCUGGAUAAUUUAACAUUGAAGCUAUUCAUGACAACAGACUGGAACGGCAGAUCGGAUUUUCAAGAGCCAACUAUUCAACUGCAGGGACCUACAAAACUGUCAGCCCUAACCAUCAAGAAUGACCGCCGACUGACUAACCCCAGUCAGUAAUCCCCACCAUGGCUGCACAAGAAGCACUAUUCAAGGUUCCUUCACAUGAGUGGCAGACCUCUGCAGCCCCUCCAAAGUGGCGCUUGUGUUCUUGGCUGCUUCUCUGAUUAAUGCUCUCCUUGCCUGGGCUUGCCUAUAUGGACAUCUAUGUCUUGAGUAGCAGCAUGCAUUAAACACGGAGAGAAAAAGAACGUCACCUGAACCGGCAUUGAUACGUCCUCAAUCAUUGUCUCUUUCUGAAGGCUGACCUCUUUGCUGUAUAUUUUGGAGCUAUCAAGUGGUGCUGAAAGUCACACUUAUCACAAGGUAAGGGAUGGCGACCAGACUUCCAUUCAUUUUAUGAUUUCACC